UGGGGAAUUUUGGACAAUGGGCGAAAGCCUGAUCCAGCAAUGCCGCGUGUGUGAAGAAGGCCUUCGGGUUGUAAAGCACUUUUGUCCGGAAAGAAAUCCUUGGCUCUAAUACAGUCGGGGGAUGACGGUACCGGAAGAAUAAGCACCGGCUAACUACGUGCCAGCAGCCGCGGCAAUACGUAGGGUGCAAGCGUUAAUCGGAAUUACUGGGCGUAAAGCGUGCGCAGGCGGUUUGCUAAGACCGAUGUGAAAUCCCCGGGCUCAACCUGGGAACUGCAUUGGUGACUGGCAGGCUAGAGUAUGGCAGAGGGGGGUAGAAUUCCACGUGUAGCAGUGAAAUGCGUAGAGAUGUGGAGGAAUACCGAUGGCGAAGGCAGCCCCCUGGGCCAAAUACUGACGCUCAUGCACGAAAGCGUGGGGAGCAAAACAGGAUUAGAUACCCUGGUAGUCCACGCCCUAAAACGAUGUCAACUAGUUGUUGGGGAUUCAUUUCCUUAGUAACGUAGCUAACGCGUGAAGUUGACCGCCUGGGGAGUACGGUCGCAAGAUUAAAACUUAAAUGAAUUGACGGGG
Molecule: ribosomal RNA, 573 nt
Filed under: uncultured bacterium
Lineage: Bacteria
Description: partial 16S ribosomal RNA
Rfam family: Bacterial small subunit ribosomal RNA
Source: RNAcentral